GGAGAGGAUGAUUUUGCCGCCGCCGUUGGGGCCGACGAUAAAGGUUAAAGGGUUGAAGAAGGUGAUGUCGUGCUCUCUCUGGGAGAAGCCAUGGAGACUUAGGCAUGGUCCUUGCUGUUGCAGGCGGAAGAGAGGAAGAGACCCGUUGCUUGAUGGGCUCCAAGAGCCUGACGGCGAUGUCGAAACCAUUGUUGGCCCAAAAACCAUUGUUGUGGUGGAGUGGGCCU
RNAcentral lists this long non-coding RNA (227 nucleotides) under Malus domestica (apple). RNAcentral describes it as "long non-coding RNA (MDOM_LNC013451)". Lineage: Eukaryota; Viridiplantae; Streptophyta; Magnoliopsida; Rosales; Rosaceae. The record is from RNAcentral.